Molecule: ribosomal RNA, 402 nt
Filed under: uncultured prokaryote
Description: bacterial SSU rRNA
Rfam family: Bacterial small subunit ribosomal RNA
Source: RNAcentral
UAGGGAAUAUUAGACAAUGGGCGCAAGCCUGAUCCAGCAAUGCCGCGUGAGUGAAGAAGGCCUUAGGGUUGUAAAGCUCUUUCAAUGGGGAAGAUAAUGACGGUACCCAUAGAAGAAGCCCCGGCUAACUCCGUGCCAGCAGCCGCGGUAAUGCGGAGGGGGCUAGCGUUAUUCGGAAUUACUGGGCGUAAAGAGCGCGUAGGCGGUUUAUUAAGUUGGAAGUGAAAGCCCAGGGCUUAACCUUGGAACUGCUUUCAAAACUGAUGAGCUAGAGAUUGAUAGGGGAUAGCGGAAUUCCUAGUGUAGAGGUGAAAUUCUUAGAUAUUAGGAGGAACACCGGAGGCGAAGGCGGCUAUCUGGAUCAACACUGACGCUGAGGCGCGAAAGCGUGGGGAGCAAACA